GAUGAACGCUGGCGGCGUGCUUAACACAUGCAAGUCGAACGGAAAGGCUCCUGCUUGCAGGGGUACUCGAGUGGCGAACGGGUGAGUAACACGUGGGUGAUCUGCCCUGCACUUCGGGAUAAGCCUGGGAGACUGGGUCUAAUACCGGAUAGGACGAUGGUUUGGAUGUCAUUGUGGAAAGUUUGUUCGGUGUGGGAUGAGUUGGAGGCCUAUCCGCUUGUUGGUGGGGUAUUGGCCUACGAAGGCGUCGCCGGGUAGCCGGCCUGGGAGGGGGUACGGCCACAAGGGGACUGAGGGACGGCGCAGACGGCGACGGGAGGCAGCGGGGGGGAGUAUUGCGCAGUGGGGGCAAGCCUGAUGCAGCGGCGCCGGGUGGGGGAUGACGGCCUUCGAGUGGUAAACACCUGUCGCUAGGGACGAAGCGCAAGUGACGGUACCUGGAGAAGAAGCACCGGCUAACUACGUG
This 466-nucleotide ribosomal RNA is filed under the name uncultured bacterium. RNAcentral describes it as "partial 16S ribosomal RNA". It matches the Rfam family "Bacterial small subunit ribosomal RNA", at positions 28 to 507 of the family's 1533-position model. The record is from RNAcentral.